Molecule: long non-coding RNA, 3180 nt
Filed under: Heterocephalus glaber (naked mole-rat)
Lineage: Eukaryota; Metazoa; Chordata; Mammalia; Rodentia; Bathyergidae
Description: lncRNA (ENSHGLG00000038725.1)
Source: RNAcentral
CAUGCUCAGAGGCCCUGUAGUAGGGACCCUAUAGUGACUCGGCCUUGGGUCAGCCUGUUGGAUCUGUUUCUUCCUGAUACACAACACUUGGAAGAGGCUGACAUUCCAAUAAUGUGAAGCCGUGUAUGCAUGCUGCAACGUUGUUGUAAAUGCAAGAUACUGGAAACAUUUUAAGUGCACAUACGAGAGGUGGUGAAGCGAUUGUGUGCACCCACCCAAGGGAGUGCUGUGCAGCUGUGAAAAAGAGCAAGGGUGGUCUCUGUGGACGUCUGUGGGUGAGUCCUGGGAAACACUGCUAAGCCAGAAUGUUACUCUGUGUGGGAUAAAGGAAGAAGCAUAAGAAGAUGUACCUGUAUUUGGUCAUGGUACAAAGCAUGCUGAAAGGCUGAAGCAGAAGCUAAUGAGAGUCUAGGGGCAAGUGGAUUGGGGCUGAAGCAGAGGCAGAAUGGCGGGAGGCUUCUCCAGGGGCACUGUCUGUGCACAGAUCUGCCUCUUGGAGCCGUGUUAAGGUUUCCAGUACUGAAAAAAGAAGGGAGGGAGAGGGGGCGGGGACGGGGAGGAGAGGGAGAGGAAGGAGGAAAAGGAAAGGAUGCCAACAAGGAUAUGGAAAACAAUCUUAAGGUGGGAAGCAAGUAGGAAGAAAUGAAAUGUAUUUGAGAUGAAGCACACCUUCCCCUCACAGAAAGGAGGCGUGAGGGGCACUAAGCCCAGUGACAACAACGGUAUUUCACUAGGGACGGAAGAACCCUAGAGAGUCUGAAGUGUGGCUGGAGAGUAGGUUUCUGUAGUGUGGAUGGAUAGAAUAGCAAUUGUUGCAGUCAAGGUCUGCAAGGGAAAUAGAUUGAAUACAGGACACAUAAUUUAUAGGACUAUUUUAUAACAUUAACCCAAAAAGUCAAAUGCAGAGGAGUGCAAGAGGUCUAGCCGAACACUAGAGACGCAAAGAAUCUAGCCAAGGGCCUGGAUCCCACAGUAAUGUCCCACACAAGUCCAGCUGAAGGGCAAGCGUUCAAGGUAAUGUCCUGCAGAAGUCCAGCCAGAGCAGUCUAGAGCCCAUGACAAUGCCUCAUGCAAGUCAGUAUUGAGGAUUUGCACUAGGAAGGCCCAAAGGCCAGUGGCGGAAGCCAGAAAGUCUACACCAGUGCAGUGAAGGAUUGGUGCCACCACGCUGAGGGAUCUACAUUGGAGCCAGGAAGCGAUGUUCAUGGCAAAGAUCAGGGUACCCCUGAUGAGGACAGCAGCCAUUCCCAGUGACAUUGAGGACCCAAGCUCCUCCUAGGAUGAGAGAACAGCUAAGUUCACAUCGGGAAAACCACCCAGGCAAGCUUCUCUUGAAAAAUUAGCAGCCUACAAUCUUCUCCUCCAGUUCUCUUUUUAUAUCAUUGUUGGUGGGUCUUCCAUACCCAACCACACUGAUUCAGUUCAGCUGGGUGUUCCAAGUUGACCAUUAAUUAAUCUACCACAGCAAUUCUGAAAAUACUGUGUAUUAUGGGAUUGGGCAAAUCAAUGAAUAUGUUGUGUAAAAUGGCAGUCAGGCUUUUCAUCAAAGAGAAGCAAGAUAGAAAGAUGGAAAAGAGGAGGAGCUAAUGCUGGGUGCUGCAGUGUUGAACUGGAAUUGGAGGUACUCUUGGGUUUUAUCAUACAUGGGCAUAUCCCUGUACAGUGUAUAUGUACAGUGUGUAUAUAUGCACACAUACGCAUUUACACUUCUAUAAACACUAAAUAUUUAUAUUUAGGUAUAUAUGUACUUGUAUACACCUGUGUAUGUAUAACUAUGUGUGUAUAUGUGUAUUUCUAAAUCUAUUGAAAGGAAAACAUGGUAAGAUGUUUAUAUGUGGGGCAUCUGGGUAAAACAUUAAUGGGAAUUCUUUGUACAAUUCUUGCAAAAUUUUGUACAUCUGAAAUUAUAUCAUAGUAAAAAUGUGAAAAGAAAGAAGGCAAAGCAGUUGCCCAUGAGAGUUGAUGCGGAGAUGUGACCUGGGUCCCUCAAGGCCCCAUGUGACCCCAGUCUCCUCCUGGCCCAGUGUGGGUCGCCCCAGGAGCUCCCCAUUCAGGGCAGUGCUGGGCAGGUGUUUCGUAAGCUCUUCUCCUUCACCCACAGGUGGGGCCCUCAGUGGGGUGCAAGGAGCAGGAAGAGAAGGAAGGGAGCCCUCUGUGGAGCUGAGCCCUGCCCCUGGGGUAUCCCAGCUGCUGCUGGAGCCCAAGGAGAGAAACCUUGUUGGUCUCGGUGUGGAUGCAGGUGUGGUCCAGCCUUUGAGGGGUGUCCUCAGGCUGCUCUCCGGAUCUCUUGCAGCAUGUGCAGAGAGGCUUCUCAGGGUAAUAGAUCCUCCCUGUCUAGCCUCUGCUUUUUCUCAGAUGGGCAUCUCUUUCACAUGCAUCCUAUACUCAGAAACAUUGCUUCUCGGGAGUUUCAAAGAUGAUUCAAUUCAAUGGCAAAGGACAAAAGCACUGCACCACUCCCCCUUCUGCUGUUCCUCCCCUCUUUGUAUGUGAGUUGUGUUCAGCACUCCUGCUUUAGAAGCAUAAGCGAUUAAGAGUUGGCAGUGGUGUCAGGCAGAGCUGGGCUCAGAACUUCACCUGGCCUUGGACCUCAGUUCCCACCUGCACAAUGCCCCUGAUAAUAGCCUUGAGCCCACUGAGUGGCUUUGAGGAUUAGAGAAGCUAAGCAUGUAUGUGCUCAACACAGUGCUCAACAAGUGGGAGACAUCAGUAGCAGCAGCUCCAGAGACAAGGACAGAGAUGUGAUUCAGCAAAUCAUUGAGACCAUAUUGCUUUUUCUGAGGCCAAACUCAUCUCCCAGGGAAUUGCACUUAACCAGUGAGUGACUCUUUCAAUAAAAACAUGGGUUACUCUGCCCAGCACCUAGACAUUCCCAAGUCUCCCCUCGAAAACUGCCAUUUGGAGUCCUGGUACUGUAGUAAUGAGGAUGUGGGCCCAACUUCCGGGAGCAUUCCAAAUAAGAAACUUCCAGAACUUAAUUAUUUUAUGGUACAAAAGCUUCUUAUUCUUUUUGGAAAGUAAAAUUAUAUAUAAGUAUUUUCAAUGGACUUACUAUGCCAAAACUAUGCAUUAUCAACCUUGGAAAAAUACUCAUAGCUAUUUAUAUUGACUUGAAUCUCUCAUUUUUUUCUUGUGUUUGUUUGCUUGGGGUGGUGUGUGUGUGUGUGUGUGUGUGUGUGU